This 564-nucleotide ribosomal RNA is filed under the name uncultured bacterium. RNAcentral describes it as "partial 16S ribosomal RNA". It matches the Rfam family "Bacterial small subunit ribosomal RNA", at positions 355 to 905 of the family's 1533-position model. The record is from RNAcentral.
UGGGGAAUUUUGGACAAUGGGCGAAAGCCUAUCGAGUCCAAUGCCGACUGCGCGUGUGUGAAGAAGGCCUUCGGGUUGUAAAGCACUUUUGUCCGGAAAGAAAUCCUUGGCUCUAAUACAGUCGGGGGAUGACGGUACCGGAAGAAUAAGCACCGGCUAACUACGUGCCAGCAGCCGCGGUAAUACGUAGGGUGCAAGCGUUAAUCGGAAUUACUGGGCGUAAAGCGUGCGCAGGCGGUUUGCUAAGACCGAUGUGAAAUCCCCGGGCUCAACCUGGGAACUGCAUUGGUGACUGGCAGGCUAGAGUAUGGCAGAGGGGGGUAGAAUUCCACGUGUAGCGGUGAAAUGCGUAGAGAUGUGGAGGAAUACCGAUGGCGAAGGCAGCCCCCUGGGCCAAUACUGACGCUCAUGCACGAAAGCGUGGGGAGCAAACAGGAUUAGAUACCCUGGUAGUCCACGCCCUAAACGAUGUCAACUAGUUGUUGGGGAUUCAUUUCCUUAGUAACGUAGCUAACGCGUGAAGUUGACCGCCUGGGGAGUACGGUCGCAAGAUUAAAACUCAAA